GCCCCCCUCAAGAUGAGAUUUCCCAUAGCGUAAGCUAGUAAGAUCCCUGAAAGAUGAUCAGGUUGAUAGGUUCGAGGUGGAAGCAUGGUGACAUGUGGAGCUGACGAAUACUAAUAGAUCGAGGACUUAACCA
RNAcentral lists this ribosomal RNA (133 nucleotides) under Bacillus sp. 5mfcol3.1. Its description in RNAcentral is "23S rRNA. Bacterial LSU". It matches the Rfam family "Bacterial large subunit ribosomal RNA", at positions 2792 to 2925 of the family's 2925-position model. The record is from RNAcentral. Lineage: Bacteria; Bacillati; Bacillota; Bacilli; Caryophanales; Bacillaceae.